This 253-nucleotide ribosomal RNA is filed under the name uncultured bacterium. Its description in RNAcentral is "partial 16S ribosomal RNA". It matches the Rfam family "Bacterial small subunit ribosomal RNA", at positions 524 to 776 of the family's 1533-position model. The record is from RNAcentral.
UACGUAGGGGGCAAGCGUUGUCCGGAUUUACUGGGCGUAAAGAGCGUGUAGGCGGCCACGCAGGUCCGUUGUGAAAACUGGAGGCUCAACCUCCAGCUGUCGACGGAAACCGUGUGGCUAGAGUCCGGAAGAGGAGAGUGGAAUUCCUGGUGUAGCGGUGAAAUGCGCAGAUAUCAGGAAGAACACCAAUGGCGAAGGCAGGUCUCUGGGCUGACACUGACGCUCAUGCACGAAAGCGUGGGGAGCAAACAGG